Molecule: long non-coding RNA, 7696 nt
Organism: Loxodonta africana (African savanna elephant)
Lineage: Eukaryota; Metazoa; Chordata; Mammalia; Proboscidea; Elephantidae
Exons: 3
Source: RefSeq, a predicted model, not a curated record
GGCUGGGGGUUACUAUGAGCCUGGCAUGUGGGUAGGGGUUCGGUUUGAGUUUCUCCCUAGCACCAGGGACUCCUAGGCCUGUCCCCUACUCACUAAUUCAUCUACAUGGGGGCUGCACAUGCCAGAGCUGGCUUGAACUUUGAGCCCCUGAAGCUGCUGGGAGGGAGAGCCACUGGCUACUGGGUAGACAGAUGUCAGUCUUGUCACAUGGAAGAGGCAGGGCUGGAGUGGGCUGAUGGUAAGCAGUAGGCCUGCCUGGAGGGGAGAUCCCUGCCUGCCCCCUGCUCUUCAUGAAAUGCUGAGAGGGAGGGCUAUUUGCUGAGCCCAGCCCCCCCCACCACCACCCCAGGGUGAAUCAUGGGGCCCCUGGGUGGGGAGAGCUGCAAGAGAUUGGUCAACUGGGCCCUGCUGAGUCACAGUGAGCCCCAGCUGCCCCAAGUCCUGCCUGCUCCUAGCUGGGACUGGUAGCUGCAGGUUCUGAAGGCCAGCACUGACAGGCCGUGAAGGGCAGGGCUGGAGUUGGGGGCACUGGGCUCUGGGGCACCUGGGGACUACAGGGAAGGGUCCCGGUCUCAAGGCUGGUAGGAAUCAGGACUUCGGGUCUGUGGUUGCUGGGGCCACAGGCUGCCAUCCAGGAGUCCUGGGUAAGUGAUGGGGUCAUGGGGGCUGGGGCUACAAGGCAGCUAGGGCUAUAGGAGCUCAGGGCCAGGGAAGCACAUGAGUUCAGGUACCUGGGAAAAGAAAAGGGAACCCCAGUCAGUAUCCCUGAGCCCCAAGAUAAGUGGGUUUAUGCUGAGGGGCACUGUGGUGGUAGGCUGGAAGUUGUGACAUCCAGAGGGAGGGAAGAGUUGGGUCGAAAUAAAUGAAAUGAGUGGAACUUGUGAGUCAGGGGAGGGAAUGUGGCAGUGGGUAGAACCUGAAAAGCUGGGGUGGGGUCUGGGAGUUGGGGGCGAAGCCUCAGCGGUGUAGGGUCGGAGAGCCAGGGCAGGGCGUGGUGAUCUGGGACUGAGUCUGCAGUAGUGAGGUGAGGCGGGGACCUGGGGGCGGGACUUGUGGUACUGAGAUGAAGGCGCCAGGCGCUGGACAGCGGAGCGCCCCUGGUCGUGAAAACCCUACCUCAGAAGAGCCCGCAGUCUUUGAGGUUCUCCUUGAUGAUGAUGUCGGUGACCGCGUCGAAGACGAACUUGACGUUCUGCGUGUCGGUGGCGCAGGUCAUGUGGGAGUAGAUCUCCUUCACGUCGCGCCGCAUGUUGAGUUCCAGGAACUGCACCUUGAUGUAGUUGCCCGCGUCCUCAAUACGUCCUUCUUGUUGAGGAAGAGCACGAUGGACGUGGUGGCGAAGUAGCGGUGGUUGCAGAUGCUGUUGAACAGCACCAUGUCGUAGGCGCUUAGCGCCGCGAUGAAGAUAAUACAGGUUACACCCUCGAAGCAGUGGAUCCACUUCUUGCGCUCCGAGCGUUGGCCGCCCACGUCGAACAUCCUGCGGGGCCGUGGGGGCCUGAACCCGCGCAUUGAGCCCCCUGCAUGCGCCCAGCGGCAUGCCCUCGCCUCCCCAUGGUCAGACGUAGAUGGGACGGGCAUCUGGAGGGGCAGGGCCUCUCUGAGAGCGGGGUGGCCCGGGGUGGCCGGGCGUCUGGUAGGGAUGAGGCCUCUCAGACGCAGUGGGAGUGGGGCCUCGGGGAGGUGAUGCCCGGGCAGGCCCCAGGAGCGACGGCGCGGAGUCAUACCGGAAGUUGAGAUCCUUGAAGGAGAACUGCGUCUCAAUGAUGCCAGUGGUCUUGACUCGUGAGCGCAGCACGUCCUGCUCAGUGGGAACGUAGCCCGGGGUUACCAGGCGCUCCAGGUCCGAGAGGUAGCUGCGGAAGACCCCGGGAUGUGAGUUAGAUGGUGGGGGCGUGACAGGGCCCAGCCCGCGCCCCCACGCCCCACCUGCGCGCUCACUAGCCAGCCGAGUCGUUGAGCUGGUACUCUGAGGCGCGGUCGAAGCAGGCCUGGAUACCCGAGUCCUUCCACAGCCGCUGGAUGAUGUCCGACAUCUCCUUGGGCAUCGUGCCCUCCUCGAUGGUGUCUGCCAUAUGCAUCAGCUUCCGAGCGUCGUCCUGGAGGUGAAGGUAAGGAUAGUGAUCACCGUGGCCCGCGGCCCUGCCCUGUCCCUUUGAUUCCCAGAGUCCACACCCAGCCCGCCUCCCUGCGCACCUGGCGCGCAGAGUCUCCGUAUUGGAUGUUAAGUGUGGUCAUGGCUCGCACAAUGGCCAGGAUGGAUUGCAGCGUGUUGCCGUAGAUGAUGGCAAUGAACUCUAGGCACUCUUCUAAUGAGUACCCAUCCUGGUGAAUAAUCCUGCAGAACGGCAGAGCAGGGUCAAGGCCUUGUGGGCCGGUGGGGAGGGGCAGGCCCCGUACGCGCACCAGCCCCCAGGGGCCUCAGGAUGAGCAGGGGCACUCACUUCAUUUGCUUGACGAUGGUGCUCUUCCCAGACUCGCCGGCACCUGGAAGGGAAGCCGGGCCUCAGAGUCACCCUGUGACCACCCAUCCUUUCUCACCCCAGCAGUGAGCCCCAGGAGAUGCAACCAGCCUGGGUCUGGUGGGUGGACUGAGGGCCAGUGGGCAGAUCUUUAGCAGAAGAGGCCUGGGUGCCAGUCCUAUCCCCAGUCACACCUGCCCCAACCCCAUCCAAAGUAAGAUCUGACAGCCCUGGAGGAAAAGCAUUUGUAAAUGUCAGAAAAGCCACAGAAACGACUAACGAGGGGAAUGAGCAUCCUCAACUCUGCCUCUGAGCCCCACCCCUGCCCUAAGACCCUGCUAUACCAGUACCAGUUGCUGUCAAGUCGAUUCUGACUCAUGGGGGCCCCACGCAAGUCAGGCAGAAGUGUGCCCCGCAGGGUUUCCAGCGGCUGAAUUUUCCGAAGUAGGUCACCGGAGCUUUUUUUCCAGGUGCCCUUGGGUGGACCCGUAUCUCCAGCCUUUGUUAGCAGCCAAGCACGUUAACCAUUUGCUCCACCCAGGGACUCCUGGUGCUAUUGUUAGGUGCCAUCGGGUCAAUUUUGACUCAUAGCAACCCCAUGUGGCAGAGUAGAAUGUCCCCAUAGAGUUUUCUAGGUUGUAAUCUUCGCAGGAGGAGCUCUGGUGGCGCAGUGGCUAAGCGCUUGGCUGCUAAGGAAAGUUGGAGGGUUAAAAAAAAAACAAACCAACUGCUCUGCGGAAGAAAUAGGUGGUAGUCUGCUUCCAUAAAGAUUUACAGCCUUGAAAACCCUAUGGGGCAGUUCUGCUCUGUCCUAUAGGGCCGCUAUGAGUCCGAAUUGACUCGAUGGCAGUGGGUUUGGCUUGGUUUUAAUCUUUACAGGAGCAGAUCUCCAGGUCUUUCUCCCGGGAAGCCGCUGGGUGGGUUGGCAGUCAGUCCUGCGUUUAACCGCUUACACCACCCAGGGCUCGGCAGUCUUUCGUCUGUGAGGCCGAACUAAAUCCUGGAGUGCCACCUUGUGGGAGGAUCUGGUAUUGCAACAUGGGAUUGAACCGGAUCAACGCUUGGUUUUCAUCGGAAGGGGGCUGGGGCAUAUCCAAAAGGCUCAGAAGGAAUUAGCGCCUUUGGGUGGGGAGGAGGACAGAGUUGACUGAACGCCUUGCCCCUGUGAGCACUGGUCACAAUUAAUGGGAUUGCUGGCUUAACCUCUCUGGCUUCCCUGGGGUGCCUUGGCUUCCCUCUGCCCAUCUUGACCUGGCCAAAUGGACCCUGGAGAGCUUGGGUGGAGCCUGCUUGGCCCUCUUAAAAAAGCUUCCUAUUUCCCUUAGGGGGUCGGACAGUGACCAAGAGGCAGGCCUGGAUCAGCAUCACCUUCUCUCAUCACCCAUGGGGCCAUGGAAAUGGCUUAAGCUGCUCUCCACUGGGCCUCAGUGCCCUUCCCCUCGUUUAGCUGCUUUGAAGGUCAACCACCAAUAAAGCUGUGGCACCUGAGGGCCAUUGUCUGUGGGUCCGGGUGGUCCUAGAGACUCCCCACUCCCAGGACUGUGACUUUCUCCUUCCCGAGGGAGCAGCCAUGUUGUGGGGCUCCUAUGGGGUCCCCAGUUUCUGAGUCCCUGCCUAGCAGGCUCAUCAAGCCAAAGGCUGGAGCUUGAGGGAGCCCAGCCAGGGCAGAAAUGUACCUUGUACAAACAUACACACUUUUGUGUAGGGGAGGUUGCCUGAGGCCAGGCCCUCUGUUGGGAAGCAUGGUGGGUCAGGUCUGGCCUUGUCUGGCUGGGACUCCCGCACUGUGCCCUGCCCUGUCACAGGCUCCUCUGCUUCCCAAGGAAUCCCAGCUUCACAGUAGGGCUGCCUGCCUUCCCUCAGGCCACUGACCUGGUGGCCAUGACCCCAUCUGGGCCCAUGCCCCUACCCAGAAGCAGCAGUUUCACGGUUCGAGCAUCCUUCUCAGCAUCCUCUUUUAGCUUCUUUUCCAGCUCCCUCGAGUGCUUCUCCUCAGCGCUGGCUCCAGCCCCCAUGGCCCCAGAAGCAGUUGAAGGGACAGGGUGGGCAGGUGACUCUUCUGUAUGGAGGGGAUCCCCAGAGCCAGGCUCUGGCCAGCCUCUGGCCUUCCCAGAUGCCCUUCUGGUCCAGGGCUGGCAACCAACUGGCUCUCCACAGGCCUGUGCAAGCCCUGGUGGGGGCUGCUUAGUGGGAUUUGGGGGCGGGGGUGCCUAAGAGCCAACCAGAGACAAGGACAGGUGAAUCCAGCUCAGCCCCCCAACCUUUCUAAUCGGGCUGGCGUGGCCCCAAUCCCUUGACUGCUGACUCUGCACCCUCUGUGCCCCACCUCAACCCUCCAGGAGAGGCCUUGGAGAGAGUUCUGCCCCCACCCCAGAGUUGGAAGACAUGUGCAGACCUGAGAAAGGGGUGGAGAGGCCCUUGAGCCAGGGGAUGGGGGCUAGCAAUAGGAUUGUCAUCUUAGGUUGGGUUCUCUAGAGAAGCAAAACCAGUGAAGUGAAUAUAUAUAUACAUGUAUAUAUAUAGAGAGAGAUUUAUCUCAAGGAAAUGGCUCAUGCAGUUGUAGAGGCUGGCAAAUCCUAAGUCUAUGGGUCAGGAGUCAGGCUGGAGACUUCUCCUGACUCAUGUAGGUGCAGGGGCUGACAAACCCAAGAUCAACAGGUCAGAUGGCAGGCCACUGGCUCAUAGGUGGCACAGGCUGACAAAUCUGAGAUCAGCAGGCAAGAAGCCAGGCUACUGGCUCACCAGCUGUGGAGGCUGACAGAUCCCAAGAUUGGCAGGCAAUACGGCAGGCUGCUGGCUCAAGUUCCAAGAACUGAAGGUCAGAUGAUGACGAGCCGGAUGCAGCAUCCAGAGCAAGGAAAACAAACUUUGCCAGAACUUUAUAUAUAUAUAUGGUGCAGGCCACAUGCCUGAGGAAACUCCUUUACAACUGAUUGGCUGAUCGUAUCAGAUCACAUUACAGAGGUGAUUCUAUUAGUAUUACUUAUGGGAAAUCACAAAACUGAGGAUAAUUACAUCAGAUCACAAAAUGGAGAAUAAUUAUGUAAUACUGAGACUCAUGACCUAGCCAAGUUGACAUUUAACAUUAACCAUUACAAGGGUGAAGAGGGUGAAGCAUGGAGCACCUGUGGCCUGCCCAGCACGGGGCUCAGCCCUACUCACACCAACCCUGGGGGAACAUGUGCCCGUAUCAUCAGCCCCAUUUUCCUCAUGAGGAAGUAGAUGUACAGGGGGGUCACACACCGGGAGGUGGUUGAGCUGGGCUGGAUGACUCUGCACCAGGGUUCCGUAUCCUGCAGGAGCUCAAGAGGAAAAAUGUGGGCACUGCAGCACUGCUUCUGCCCAGUGCCUAGGGUUAGGUCUGACCCGGGUAGGGACUCUAAUGCUUCCUGGUGGAAGAACAGUGGAUGUGCAUGGCCCGUGUGUUUGUCCUUCACUGGCAUCAACAAGGCAAUGACUUGACACAUUUGUGGGUAUAUGCCUGUGUGUACACGUGUGCCUGUCCUGUAUGUUUGUGCAUGCAGGUGUGCUGUUACAUGCAGUGUGUGCACGUGCCUGUGUAUGUAUACCUGUGUGUGCACAUGUAACUGUAUGUGUGGGCAUGCUUUUAUGCAUUUCUCUUCAUAGGCAUAUGUGCUUGUAUGCAUACUUUGCACAGGCUGGUGAGAGUUCAUGUGUGUGCAUGUGUGUGCACAGCAUGCAAAUGCAUGUAUAUGUGCAAUGUGUGAGUGCAGAUGAGCGUUCACUUGCAUGUGUGUGUGCCUUGUGCAUGUGGAAAUGUUUGUGUACGCACGUAUUCCUGUGUGUGCCUGUGCAUGAGUGAGCCUAUGCAAGCAUGUUCCUGUGUGCAUGUACGUUUUUGCCUGUGUGUAUGUGUGUCCUCGUGCCCAUGCCUAUGUGUACACGAGUAGUUGGGUGCAACAAAAUCUCUGACCUGCAGAGGUGGCCAGGCUCUUCCAGAGAAUAUUUUGGAGGCCUGUUGUCAGAUAGGGAAACUGAGUCCCAGAGCAGGUCAGGCAUUCUUAAGGGCAUGGAAGAGCGGGGUUCACCUGGUCUGCUCUGUCCCAUGUGUCCCCUGAAGCCUGCCUGGGAGUACCUUUACAGCCUGCCUACCUCACCCAAGGAGUCUGGCUUCCAGGUAUAUAUUCAGGUGGGCCAGGGUGCACCGCUGUGCAGGAGUGAUUUAUGUUGAGCAUGCAAUGUUGAGCUCCUAGGCUCUGAAGACCAUCCCCCCAUCAUAAGACCCAACCUCUGGGCUAUUAAGGCCUCUCCUGGGGCCCCUGUGUCUUCUGGAUGGACUCCCUCCCCAGAAACCUGGCUGCUUUUUUUCACUCAACUCUGCAGCAGACCUGAGAGACCACGAGGGGGUGCCAGGGCCCCAGACAUGGAGCAUCAAAGGCUGGCUGACCAUAGGGGAUCAUGUGGCAAGUGGAAUACUGGCUCCUACCAUGGGCUUGGAAACCCUGGCUGUUAACCAAGAGGUCAGAGGUCGGCACUUCGAAAUCUGCCAGAUACUCCUUGGAAACUCUAUGGGGCAGUUCUACUCUGUCCUAUAGACUCGACAUCAGUGGGAUACCAUGGGCUAGCUGGCACCUUGUUCAGUGAGGGCAGAUCUAUCUGGAAGAGAGACUCAUUUGUGUCACUUUCAGCCUUCUAGCUCCAUUCACCCUCCAGACACCUGCAUUGUGAGGGGGCCAGAGGGGGUGGUGGUCUCUGCAGUCCCUUACAGUGCCCAGGGUGCAGGGCUUAGGCAACCAACCAAAACCUGGUUUCUGCAUAUUGGGUUUGCUUAAAGUGGGGGCCAACUCACAAUCUUCUGCUGGUGGCUGUGGGGGUGGGGGUCUAUGGGCCUUCCCAGCCCCACCUCCUCCUCUCCAGCAACUCCCACCUCUGGGUAUUUGCUCAUGCUGGGUCCUUGUGGGAGGGGUCUGGAAGGACAGGGAGGGAAUUAGGUUCUUUUGCUGGGACACCUGGAGGACUGGGAGGGUUUCUGCUUUGUCUUGCCAAUUCCAAGUCCUUGGUGGUCCACACAAGGCUGGGCCCAAAGAUGGAUGAGAGGGCAGUGGUGGAAUAAACGACUGAACUGUUAAAUAAGCAAACGGAAACCAAGGCAAAAUCUGGGAACUGGUGGUCGGGCCAUAUUGGAGGUGGCAGGAACUGGAAGGGCAGGACCUAGGACUUGGACUAAGCCAUUGCCUCCCUAUCCCUCAAGGAGAGAAGCCAGAGUCCGGUCU